Molecule: ribosomal RNA, 693 nt
Filed under: Enterobacteriaceae bacterium HGH0217
Lineage: Bacteria; Pseudomonadati; Pseudomonadota; Gammaproteobacteria; Enterobacterales; Enterobacteriaceae
Description: bacterial SSU rRNA
Rfam family: Bacterial small subunit ribosomal RNA
Source: RNAcentral
CAGCUUGCUGUUUUGCUGACGAGUGGCGGACGGGUGAGUAAUGUCUGGGAAACUGCCUGAUGGAGGGGGAUAACUACUGGAAACGGUAGCUAAUACCGCAUAACGUCGCAAGACCAAAGAGGGGGACCUUAGGGCCUCUUGCCAUCGGAUGUGCCCAGAUGGGAUUAGCUAGUAGGUGGGGUAACGGCUCACCUAGGCGACGAUCCCUAGCUGGUCUGAGAGGAUGACCAGCCACACUGGAACUGAGACACGGUCCAGACUCCUACGGGAGGCAGCAGUGGGGAAUAUUGCACAAUGGGCGCAAGCCUGAUGCAGCCAUGCCGCGUGUAUGAAGAAGGCCUUCGGGUUGUAAAGUACUUUCAGCGGGGAGGAAGGGAGUAAAGUUAAUACCUUUGCUCAUUGACGUUACCCGCAGAAGAAGCACCGGCUAACUCCGUGCCAGCAGCCGCGGUAAUACGGAGGGUGCAAGCGUUAAUCGGAAUUACUGGGCGUAAAGCGCACGCAGGCGGUUUGUUAAGUCAGAUGUGAAAUCCCCGGGCUCAACCUGGGAACUGCAUCUGAUACUGGCAAGCUUGAGUCUCGUAGAGGGGGGUAGAAUUCCAGGUGUAGCGGUGAAAUGCGUAGAGAUCUGGAGGAAUACCGGUGGCGAAGGCGGCCCCCUGGACGAAGACUGACGCUCAGGUGCGAAAGCGU